CAGCGCUGACAUUAUUCUGAUGUAAAGUUAAAACAGCGAGCUGCAGACAUAGGACAUUUUUCCCCUAAAUACAAAGGCGAUAGGAAGGGAUCAGUAGGAAACUGGCUGUUUGAAGGUCUGGCUAGGAGCAGGGGACGAAGCCAGGCAGUUCAAACACUUGCCAGUUCAGAGAUGAAGAGAGCCUUUCCCUAGAGAUGCCAAGAAAUCAAACCAUGUCAAAAUGAAGAGAUUUCCCGAGCUGUUCCUGAAAAGCUAAUUCAGCCCAAGGGGUUCUUGCUGUCUGAAACUCCGUGCUCUCUAAAUAGAGCAUACCUCAUGAAGACGAAACUGAUAUGGGUGAACAGAAGGAAUUGAUACCAGCAACUGGACUGAAAUGGAACAGAAGGAUAGAAGAUGUUCACGGCUGGCUAUGGUUCAUUUAUGUCUAAGGUCUUGGUUUUCUAUAAACUGGAAAAAAGGAGAAAAACAAGAAACGUGGUGAAUAUUUCCUUCAAAAAGAUGGAAGUUCAACAUCCAAUUUUCCUCAUGUUGCCACGCAUGAUGCCAUGGGACCAGAUCAUUAGGACUUCAGGGUACCCUAUCUCUGGCUGCAGUGCUAUUUCUUAAGAAAAGCGGGAAUUGCUUGGUCAUGCCUCCUUGGAGAUUUCCCAAACCUGAGCUGAUCUUCCUGAGCCAGCAUUAAAUUCCUACUGGCCUCAUAUUUCGUUUUGCCAUCCAGAUAAUGCUGAAAGCCACUGGGAAGAUGACAGUGACAAUCAAGCAGUUCUUUCCUAAAGGAAGAAAUAAAUAAGCAAAAUAUGCAGAAUGGGUUGAAGGCUCUGCCUGAGCAAACAGCACAACGUGCAUUGGGUUCAGCUGCCAGCGAAACCCUCAGCUGGAAACCAUAGCUCCAUCUCAUGGGCUUCACCCACCUUCCGAACCCGACGGACCCCUCUCGAAGCAGCCCUGGUGUUUCGUGCCCUGCUGCUGUCCCCGUGCUCCCCACCCACACGAACACCCCAAAGCUUGCGAUGCACUGCCCUCUAAUGUCAUUUUAGCAUACGAGCAGCUCGUGUCCUUCGAGGAUACCUAAUAAACAACGCAAAAGAUCAACCCCUCCUCCAGGACCUCUUCUCAUCCCACAGCACACAGAUCCACGCUCCCUUAGAGAUCACCAUCAGGGUGAAAAAAUGAGAUCAUGCUAUUUCCC
Meleagris gallopavo (turkey) is the source of this 1189-nucleotide non-coding RNA. The record is from RefSeq and is a predicted model, not a curated record. NCBI's taxonomy places the organism in Eukaryota, Metazoa, Chordata, Aves, Galliformes, Phasianidae.